GAGGGCUUAUCGGAUUACUGGGCGUAAGCGCACGCUAGGCGGUCUGUUAAGUCAGAUGUGAAAUCCCCGGGCUUAACCUGGGAACUGCAUUUGAAACUGGCAGGCUUGAGUCUUGUAGAGGGGGGUAGAAUUCCAGGUGUAGCGGUGAAAUGCGUAGAGAUCUGGAGGAAUACCGGUGGCGAAGGCGGCCCCCUGGACAAAGACUGACGCUCAGGUGCGAAAGCGUGGGGAGCAAACAGGAUUAGAUACCCUGGUAGUCCACGCCGUAAACGAUGUCGACUUGGAGGUUGUUCCCUUGAGGAGUGGCUUCCGGAGCUAACGCGUUAAGUCGACCGCCUGGGGAGUACGGCCGCAAGGUUAAAACUCAAAUGAAUUGACGGGGGCCCGCACAAGCGGUGGAGCAUGUGGUUUAAUUCGAUGCAACGCGAAGAACCUUACCUACUCUUGACAUCCAGCGAACUUUCCAGAGAUGGUUUGGUGCCUUCGGGAACGCUGAGACAGGUGCUGCAUGGCUGUCGUCAGCUCGUGUUGUGAAAUGUUGGGUUAAGUCCCGCAACGAGCGCAACCCUUAUCCUUUGUUGCCAGCGAUUCGGUCGGGAACUCAAAGGAGACUGCCGGUGAUAAACCGGAGGAAGGUGGGGAUGACGUCAAGUCAUCAUGGCCCUUUACGAGUAGGGCUACACACGUGCUACAAUGGCGCAUACAAAGAGAAGCGACCUCGCGAGAGCAAGCGGACCUCACAAAGUGCGUCGUAGUCCGGAUCGGAGUCUGCAACUCGACUCCGUGAAGUCGGAAUCGCUAGUAAUCGUGGAUCAGAAUGCCACGGUGAAUACGUUUCCCGGGCCCUGGUACACACCGCCCGUCACAACCAUGGGAGUGGGUUUGCAAAAGAAAGUAGGUAGCUUAACCUUCGCGGAAGGGCGCUUACCACUUUGUGAUUUCAUGACUGGGGGGGAAGCGGCAACAAGGUAAGCGUAUAAUUGGGGACCUCCU
RNAcentral lists this ribosomal RNA (993 nucleotides) under Pantoea sp. CJS-2. RNAcentral describes it as "bacterial SSU rRNA". It matches the Rfam family "Bacterial small subunit ribosomal RNA", at positions 536 to 1531 of the family's 1533-position model. The record is from RNAcentral. Lineage: Bacteria; Pseudomonadati; Pseudomonadota; Gammaproteobacteria; Enterobacterales; Erwiniaceae.